GCAGCUCAGUGGUUGGGCAUCUGCUUUGCAUGCAGAAGGUCCGAAGUUCAAUCCUUGGCAUCUCCA
This is a non-coding RNA of Podarcis lilfordi (Lilford's wall lizard), 66 nucleotides long. Lineage: Eukaryota; Metazoa; Chordata; Lepidosauria; Squamata; Lacertidae. The record is from the annotation of a GenBank genome assembly.